ACGAAUGAAUGAGAAGAAUGCUGUAAUAUAAUUCUGUGUGAGGAUAGAACAGUAGGAAUGAGGACAGGUUGUGUGUGUUUAGACAGAAAGUCCAGAAGAGGGAGCGCGCAGCCCUCCUGUGACAGAGUAUAAAGUUGAAGAAGGGUGCCUGUGACUUCUUCUGGCUGGCCAAAAGUGAUCCUCUAUCACAGUUUAAUACAUUUACAGUGAUCCCUAUCAUAGUUUAACUACUAUUAGGCAGAAGGAACGAAAUUAAGGAACAUCAAAGUAAAAUAAGUUAUAAGCAAAGAUAAAAACACAGUGAUAUUUGAGGUGCUGUACUAGAAUAAGACAUUAAGGCUUUUGUAGUAUUCAGUAAUACAGUUGUAGACAUUAUAGAGUAGGUUUUAAAAGGAGGUAUUAAGUGAUGUGACUAAUAAAUUAUUAUUUGGGAAAGUAGGGUAGCUCUACCUUGGGAAAUAGUAAAUAAAGUGUAGAAUGCGAUGGGAGUGUUUAGGAAAAAUAAAUAGUGGCAUGGAAACAAAUGGACUGUUUCUCCCUGGAAUAUAGAGAUAGCAAAAUUUAAUAAAGCCAUAGAGUCACUGAAAGAAACACACAUUAAUUCUACCAAUUCGGCUUGAAUAUGAAAGAGCAAACCGUAUAAUGUAGGGCAACAUUACCCGGUAAACAGGAUAAAUAAAAUAAUGAAUUGGAACGAUCACAUAAAACCAUAACAAGACGCUUAACUUACCAGCGUUUUAAUGAUAAUUAACAUUAUAUCAUCAGAAAUACAUUACGAUGGGGGACAGAUAUGAUUCUGCUUGCCAUCGCAGACGUGCGAAUGGUUUGCAAAGCUAUAGAAAAUAUCUAAGCGUAAGAAGUUGUAGAUGUGGAGCUAACAAGUAUGGGGGAAAAUGAGUGUAAGAUGACACUGGAACUUAGUGCGGUAGCAGAGAAUGCCUCUAUACAGGAGUUUGUACCCUUUUCAAAAGAGCAACAACUAAUCGUUUUAAGGAAAAACAGCACAUAAGAGGCCAGAUGGAAGGGCAUGGGCUGAAUUCUGGAGACUGAGGGUACAUGAAGAUACACCGGGCUGGGGAUAUACUUCAUACAGCACCUGCAGUGGUAAAGAUCGUCAUGUCUCUCUUUGGUGGGUGCAUAAGUUUCACAAGAAGUAAGGUCCAGCUGAAUAAUGGGUGAGCUUGAAAACACCAUGACAGAGGACGUGAAACAAAAGAGAGAGAAAGAGAGAGACUAGAUUCCACUGUAGACAUACUGGGUUGAGUUUGGGGGUUACUUGUUUUAUUUGUUAAUGUAUCAUGUGAAAAAGGAUAGAUGUUAGGGUAGUUGUACUCUAAACAACAUGUUGAAGGCUCGAUGUGAAAGCCCAUACAGUGUUGAAUUACUUCAAGAAGAAAUAAUGUUGACUAAGGUUAUGCAUAUCAGUUGAAAUAGAGCAGAUGGGGAACUAAGUAAAAAAAUGACAUGAUUUGGGAACACCUCUCAGAACCUGCGGCCGAAAGGGGAAGACUGGAUGAAAGCACGAGGAAGCCAAUUAGGGCCUCCAUUUUUGUGGAGUAUCCUGGAGGCAUAGAGUCAGGUGAAGAGAGAGUGGGAAUUGUCAUGGUCUCAGAUUUCAGUAUUCAUGAAUACAGUCAUGCAUAACACAUAACAUUGUCAAUACUGUUAUGUUUUGUCCUUUGUUUUCCAAGUCUUAUGUUUAGGAAACCAGAUGGAGAAGGGUUCGCCAGCUUCAGCUGGAAUGUCAGUUUGUGUGAUGAGUGAUGGAAGUAAGAUAAUGUAUGGUGUAAUCAUAGAACAGAGGCCAUAAGUCUCUAAGUAUGAAUGCCCCACAGAAAGAAGGCAGAAACCUGAACCAGGACGAGAGGUUCCACAUCUGAUGAUCCUAGGGGACCAGAAGGACCUCUCCCAGUGAUACCAGGAGAUCUAGUCUACGUUCGAGUGUUCCGAAGGAAGUGGGAUCAGCCGAGGAGAGAAGGACCCUACGAGGUGGCAAUAGCCACAAACACGGCCGUCUAAGUGAAAGGAAGCAAGACGUGGUAUCAUCUAAACCACUGCACCCGAGUCCCGACGGAGAGAAGGACACAACCAUACAGAGAUGAGGACACAGAGGAUGCUGAUUCACCAGGCGGGACCCCGGAGGGAGCAGGAGCAGCGGAAACGAUCAAAGCGCCGGGGAGGAAUCAAGAAAAUGGCAGACUAGAUACAACGAGUGCAUCAACUAAACGCACUCAGAAGAAGCACCAGGGGAAAAGAG
Oncorhynchus mykiss (rainbow trout) is the source of this 2257-nucleotide long non-coding RNA. RefSeq lists it as uncharacterized. The record is from RefSeq and is a predicted model, not a curated record. Lineage: Eukaryota; Metazoa; Chordata; Actinopteri; Salmoniformes; Salmonidae.